CAAAAAAAAAAAAAAAAGGAACAAAAGAAAAGAAAAAGAAAAAGAAAGCUGAGGUGCUAAACAACUAGUGUGACAGGACUAGUUCCAAUUAUUCCAAUGCAUACUGUCUCCUGAGUCUAUAAUCAUAACUAAACUAUUUCAGGCAGAGAGAAAAAGGGAAUAUAGUGGCAAGAAAGCAAAUCACAUAGCAAGAGAGUGACAGAGGGUAAAUCACUACAUCAACAGAGAGUGAUGUAGCAAAGGGAGGAAGGGCUGGGAAAACUGCAUGAGGGCGGAUUACAGAAAGCUCUGAAUGCCAUUCUUGGUAGGAUAAGAUGUGAGAACUGAACCCCAACUGAGAAGGUGCCAAUUAAUUCAGGUGGCACUGACCUGUGAGGCUGAGGAGGUCUUAAUCACCAGAACACUAAAUGCUCAUUAUCCAACCUUUUAAUUAGCAAAGAAACUACCCCAUCUGGAAAAGUUUUCAGCAAAGAACCAAGAUUUGAUCAUGCUGUUAAGGAAAAAAAAAAAAAAAGAAAGAAAAGAAAAGAAAAGAAAUAAACAAUCCUCUGAUCUCUCCCAGGCAACAAAUCUUGUAUUUCAGAUGUAUGUUUUCUUAUCUUCCAGGUCCCCAUUGGAGAGAAAAUGAGGAAAAGGAAGAACAGAUGGGAAUAAAAGCAGAAGGUACCUGAUGAAAGCAAAAAAGUAAGGCUGGGGGAAGGGUGUUUAGAGAAGGACUGGGAGAACAAAAGCAAAGAAUUCUGAAAUGUAAGGUUAUUUCCUCUGCUGAACUAUACACACAAAGUGGUUCUAUUUACUGCUUUGCAAUAUUGAAUGACUCUAGCAAGUACUGGUGGCAAUCGGUGCCUAGGAAUAAUCACAUGGAUCUCUCAGCAGAAAGGUGACUUUACAGAACCAGGUCACUAAAAAGGGCCUGGGGCAUGUAUAUCACCAUGUAGGUAUGAAAAUGCAGGGCAGAGUCAAGCUAUGCCAACAUCUUCAAUUCAUACAUGUGAAAAAUGAAACCCAAGAAGGUCAACAGAAGGGGCACUGGCCUGGGAAUCAGAAAGAUAGUCUUUUCCCUGAAGGAGGAUAAAUGAUUUUUCCCAAGGUGACAAGAUAAGUAGUAGAGUGCCUACAUUUUGUUUCUUGCCUCUUAGGAGAGCAUGUUUUCUUCUGUUCCCAUGAACUUCAGAAUGAGCCACAUCUUUACGCAAAGCCUCCUCUGCCACUUUUAUGUGUGACCUUAGGAAUUGGCUAACUGUAUUGUUCUAUUUAUGCCAUCUUUGUACCUAAAUACUAUGAUUAACUUGAAGUGUGGUUUCCAAAAACUUCUUAUGAAGAAACAGAUAAAUAUGGAACGAUGUAUGCAGAAAGAUGUUUACUGCAGCAAUGCCUAAGAUAAAGACUCAAAACAAUAUAAACAUCCAUCAGGAGACGACUGCUUAAGUAUAUUACAGUAACACACUGAACUAUCAUCCAGCCAAUAAACAGAAGAGAAAUAGGAGUGGCUGGUUAUGAAAACUGGCAGCUUCCCUCCCUGUGGUAUCUUCCCAGAUAAGAAAGCAGGCCUGAAUCUCGGGUGCUGUUCUUCCAGACCACAUGAAAGGUACUGUCUCAGGCUCCUCAUCUGGAACUUUUAUGCUUUACAAAGAUGAUAAUAGUCCCUCAAAACCACCUACAAUGCUGAAUUCAAUAGCAUUCAAAGUGUACUAGGAGAAAAUUACAGUCAAGUUAGUCAAAAAAUCUCUUCAUCUGGUAACUUUUAGGAAACCACUUAAUUUCUCCAACUCAGUCAUCUUUGCCAUACAAUGGGAAUAAUAAAACCUAUCUUGACUACUCCAGAAAUUAGUAUUGAGAAGCAAAUGAGGUAAGAGACAUGAGGAAGAUUUAGAAAUUAUAAAAUUCAACAUAAAUACAAAUUAAUAAGGUACAUCUGUCACCUGAUCUUUAUAACAUGACAAUUGUCCAAAUAAAAUGGAGUCGCUAAAGUUUUUUGUUGUUGUUGUUUGUUUGUUCUUUAAAAAAAAAAAACCUGACAAAUAGAGCCAGAGAAGUCCAUGAGGAGAGGGUUCUCAUGUUUGUAUACCUGAUAAGAAACACUAUCACAGUGAAUGCAAAAAACACAACCUUGUACAAAGACCUUUACAAACUUACACAAAAGAAUACUUCUGCAAGGACAUCUGCCCAGCAAUUGCCUGUCCAAACUUAGACUGGUGUCACUCUUCUUAUUUAGCUUUGUAACCAAGGAUAAUUAUUUCAAAACAAUUUUGUAAUUCUCUUCAUUGUUUCCUUUAAAAACCUUUUCUUUCUUUUACCUCCCUGAGUACUUACACGGGCACAGCAUUCUCAUUGCAGUGCAUUGUCAUGCACUAUUCCCAAAUAAGUAUUUUUUUUUUCUUUUAGAAAGCCUCUCUCUGUUUGUUAUUUAGGCUGACAAUAACAACCCCAGGAAAUGGGUAAGUUAUUAUCCCUAUUUUAUUGAUGGGCUGGGGGGAGAAACAGAAAAGGAUCAGGCUAUUUGCUUAAAGUCCCUCAGCAAGUUGGCUCCCAAGGCAAGUUCAGUGCCCUUGCAUCCCAUCACCUCCUAGACCCUCCAUCAGUGCUGGUUAUUCUCUCUGCUGUUUCCCCAAAAUCAUUCACUGCCCUUCUCCACAUCACAAGAGCUGCUGUCUCCUCUGCCUUCAGGUUGGAUUGGUUAAUAGAAAGACCAAAAGGUGGCAGGAGAGUGGAGUUGGGCAUUCGUUCCCUGGCUCUCCCCCUGCCUCAGCACUGUGGCUCUGACAAUGACUGGAUCCUUCUACAACUUCAACUCUUAUCUAGUGCCUCCUUCCACAGUGGUAGGUCAUGUCACCCCAUGAACACUGGGUCCCCAUGCUCACCCCGUGCUCUUCAGGCCUGGGCAGUACAACAACUUCCUGCUAUUGCUAAAACCUGGCACCUCAUCCUCUCUUCCUAGGUGCCUCAGCCCUGCCCACACAUCUCUAAAUUGUACCUUUAAAUUGUACAUCUUUAAAUUGUACCUUUAUUCAAUUAUCUGUAAAAUUCCAAUGGAGCAUGUCUUCUAUUUCUGCUGAGAAAACUGAGAAACUCCUCCUUUUCAAACUAUUUGUUCACAGGCUGCUGAAAACUUUUACCACCUGUCCCCAGUUCCUCUCUCAGCCCUCUCCUCACGUUACCCAGACUCCCUUCACAGGAAGCCAUAAGCCACCCCGCUUCCUCUCCAGGCACGAAUUUACCAUGGGUCUGAACCUGCCCUUUGCCAGUUCUUCUCUAUUAAUUUAAAAGACGCUAAGCCCUCUCCCUAGCUCCUAUUUCCCUAUCCUCUCUUCUUCGUCUGUCUCACACUUUAUUUCUCCACAGGAAAUAAUUUGAACUAUCGAUCUGUCUGCUGUAUAAUUUGGAUUGAGAAACAGAGCAUUAAAAUACUCUUUGAAUACCUUCAGGGAAACAUACUCUAUUCAAACUAUGUUUCUUUCAACUCUAAAUUUGUAAACUGUUCUUUUUUAAAAGGUAGUUCUGCCUAAAAGGGAUAAAAAAUUGACUGCCCUAUCAAUUUUGCCCUCAAGGUUAUACCAACUAUUUCUACACUGGCAAUACAAUCAAGUGCAUUUCUUUCAGACUAGAUCACAAUUGUUACUAAGCACAUGGGCUGCUAACUGUCUCCAAGGCUGCAAUAAUUCAGUGGCCCAACACUCUUUUUCAUCAUCAAAAUUUAUAGCAGAAAGAGGCACAAUAGUCAUUUUGGCCUCUAGGGUGCCUUCUCACUAAAGACCACGAGCUCAGUGGUUACACAUAACCUAUAAUACUAGUUUUGUCUUCCCAGGGUGUGAUUGGAGAAAAGAAGAGAAAUAAAAAUGCCCUUGCCUUCUUAUGUUAGAAUGAGUAACAAAAAACACCCAAGAGCUGACAUUUAGUUUAGGAUUUCUGAGACCCUUCCUCCUUUCCUUGCUGUGAAAAAUAAUGAUCUGUUGUUCUCUGAUUGUCAUUCAAACCAUGGGCCCAAGAAGCCAGCAUCUCUCUCCUCACUGGCCUCUUGUUCUCUAAAUGUACUGCCCAUCACCAAAAGGGAAAAAGGACUUCCUGUGACACUUUCCAAACCACAUUAGUUAUGAAGUGCUGACAAUGAUUACUAACAAAUUGAAACGGUUGCCCAAAAUGAUGACUGUACAAGCCUACAAAAUUGGUAUUUUUACUGCAUUAAAAGGGUAUGAGUAUGAGGCUUCAUAAGUAAUUUUAUGGCAUUUUGGCUACUGAUCACAGGUACAAAUUAUCCAUGCUCAAUUAAAGAAAGAUGAAAGUUCAGCUUUCUAUAAUUAAACCAAUAACUUGUUCGGCCUCGGGCUGGAAAUAAACGUUAAGGAUUUGUGUCUCGUAAUCUUGCACGAAGAAUUAAAGAAGCAAACUCUACUAUCACUGACUUACUUAAAAUCAAGGCCUUAUCCAUAUUGGAAAUUAUUCAUGAUGAGACUCUUAGACCAGGAAAAAAAUAAGUCAUUCUCACACUCUUUUGGCUGCCUAGCAGGUAAUAACUUUCUUCACUAUUCUGUUUGGAAUAUUGCAUCAUUUAGAUCAUUCUUGGUAAGUCAAUCCAGACAUUUUCUUUAGAUUCUGCUGAGAAUAUUAUAUGAAAUUUACAGACUUGAAAAAAUACUAAAAGGGAUAUUUUAGAAUGAUAAAUAAAGUUUAACAACCAGCUCUGCAACUUCCUACUCUCUGCUUCUAUUUCCUUACCUAUAAAAUGGGCUAUGAUGAUUAGUUUUAUUUGUCAGUUUAGAGAGGCUGCAGUCCUCAUUUAUUCAGCCAAACACUAAUCAAGGUGUUCCUGCAAAGGUGUUUUGUAGAUGUGAUUAUAGUCCACAGUCAGUUAAUUUUAAGUGCAGGAGACUAUCCUAGGUAAUCUGGGUGGGUCUAGUUCAAUACACUGAAAGUCCUUAAGAGCAGAACUGAGGCUUCCCUGAAGAAGAAGUUCUGCCUGUGCCUUCAGAUCAUGCCAAGGAGCUCCAACCUCCCCAUCCUAACAGCAUGCCUUACAGAUUUUGAAAUUACCCAGCAGACCCUGGUUGUGUAAACCAAUUCCUUCUGAUAAUUCUAUGUCCAUCCAUCUAUCCCCAUCCAUUCAUCCAUCUUACUGCUUCUGUUUCUCUGGUUAUAUCUUGACUGAUACAUGAGGAUAAUAAUGCAUAUUCUGCAGCAGUGCUAUAAGAAUAAAAUGAGACUGUAUACAUAAAAAUUAUUUUAACACAAAAUAAAUGUAAGGAUAUGUACAUAGAAUUACUAUUUGAUAUGACUAACUCAAGUCCAGCUAACAACUCCAUAUAAUCACUGCUCUUUCCUAACUGGCCUUUGAUUUUGUUUUCCAGAUUCUGCACAUCUGUUACAUUCUAAGGCUGCCUCAAACACUACCAAACCCAGCUUUACAGUUUGGAAGACAGAGAAUCAUACCCAAAGCCACAAACAUCCAAAUGUGGUGCUCCUCACAAGAAACUGAUAAUGAACUUGAGACAGAGUCUACAAGGAUAGGUAUCAGAAGACCAGUCUAAAGUAUAUAAGGUCUAUGUUCAAACAGGAGCCUGGACAUGACUGAGAUAAAGAAAGAGUCCAGAGCUGGGCACACUGACUCAUGCCUAUAAUCCCAGUGACUCAGGAGGCUGAGGCAAGAGGAUUGCUUGAGGCCAAGAGUCUGAGGCUGCAGUGAGCUAAGAUCACACCACUACUGUCCAGCCUGGGGGACAGAGCGAGAGCUUGUCUCUUAAAAAAGAAGAAGAAAAAAAAAAAAGAUUGAGUCCAGUGUUAGAGCUCCAGUAUAAAAAGAAGUUAACUGAACUCAGGGGGAGAAAGGAGGGGAACCUACUCCAAAUUUUAGCUCAGGUCUUACCUGAAUGUGGGCUAGCUCAGCUCCCAAGGGGCUAAGUGAGGUCAUGACUGAGAAGAAAGGACCCCCAGCCCAAGUUGUGAGUCGAAUGACUCUUAGGUUGAGAAGCUUUCAUACCUAAGAAUCAAGUGGCCAGUGGUGCACUGUGGGAGAGAUAAUCACCAAACUAUUUUCUUCUCUUUCAGGUCACACACCUAGAUUACCUGCCCCAGUCUCCCUUGCAGUUAGAUCUGGCUGUGAGGUUGAGUUUCAGCCAGUGGGAUAAAGAUGGAAGUUUCCAUUGGCCUAACCCAUAAAUUCCUCUCCACAACUCUUCCCACUUUUAAUCUUAUGCCCCCAUGUCGUCUCUUCUCCCAGCCUUCUUCGUCUCAGUAAAUGUCACUAGCACAUAUCCAAUCAAUCAAGGGAAAAUACAAUUCAAGGAAAAAAUACAUCCUCAACUACUCAUUCCCUUUACCUUACUCUUUCCCAGCAUCCUGCAAAAUCUGGCUCCAAAUAUAGUUCCAGUUUGUCCACUUCUCUCCCUCUUCUCCAGUCUAUUACCUUGGUUUACUCCAACACCAUCUCUCAAUUAGACUAUUGAAAUAAAAUCCUACCUGGAAUUUAAACUCUUAACUGUCUCUCUGUUUCUAUUCUUAUCCUCCAACAGCCUAUUCUGUAUACCAUGGCAGAAUGAUCUUUCAAAUCAUGUCACUCCACUGCUUGAAACUUUCCAGGAGGCUUCUCUUCCUUUGAAAUUAAAUAAAAUUUGAACCCUGAACGUGACCUAAACCCUACACAUUUUGCCUCACUGACCUCUGUCACUGCAUCUCAUACCACUAUCACCCUAGCUCACUGGGAUUCAUGCCACACCAAGCUUCAAACACACCAAGUGUAUUCCUGCCUUACGAAUUUUGAACUUGCUAUUCCUUUCCACUCCUGGAACACUCCUGCCCCAGAUCUUUGCUGGUGCCUUUCUAUAUUUCAAGUCUCAGUUUAAAUAUCACCUCUUCCAAGAAAAAUCCUCUGACUACCAUAUAUCAAAUAUCUCCCACGCUCAUUAUUCUUUGUCAUUGUACUCUGUUUUACUUUUGGAAUUAUUUGUUUUCUUGCGUGUUGUCAAUCUCCCUCACUGAAUCUUUAGCUUCAUAAGAGCAAGGACCUUACCCAACUUCUUUAUUUUUCUGCUGUAUCCCCAACGGCACAAUCUUGGUCAUCUCAUUCCCCUUUCUAAUCCUUAUUUUCUCCAUUUUUAAGAUGAUGACUUGGGAUUCAGUGCUUACAGGAGACUGGCUCUGACAUUCUUUGCAUCCACAGUUCCAAGGAGGCUUUAGAGCUUAAUACUUUCCAGCCAGUGACAUUUCUAAAUGCAUUUUCCAAAUGAAGUCAAUGCCCUCAGGCAGCCCAGUGGGGAGGUCAUGGAGAGCCAGUGAGAAGGAAGUCUGGUGAGUUGGAUUACAUAGCUCCUUUGCUACACCAUUCCAGCCAUACUGAGGAGAUGCACCUCAUUAGGUACUAAAUGUUGAGUGACUGUCACUAUUAAUUGGUGGGGAUUAAUACUCAAAGGAGACAAUAAAUCUCAUGCUGUACUCAAUGACAUCAGCCCCUUACAGUCAAACAAUGCAUUGGGAGUUUGAAUCUAAAGCACUGCAAAAAAAGAACCCAGAGACUAUCCCUUCUCUGCUUAUAAGAGUAAACAUUGGUUGCCAAUUAUAUUGAGCAUCUCCUUAGUUACCAGGAUCUGUAUUAAAUAUCUUACAUGCUUUUAUCAUUUGAUCUUUACUUUGAUCCUAUGGCAUAGUUCCAAUAUUAUCCUCAUUUUAUGGAUGGGGAAACUUCCAAAUUAAGAGAAGAAGCACCUUGCCCAAGGUCACAGAGCUAAUAAUGAUGGAUCCUUUGAUUGGGGUCUGUUUUAUUCAGAAGCCCAUGACCUUAGCUACUAAGUAAUAUUCCAUUUCCUAUAAUUAUCAUCUCAUCAUAUGAUGACAAUUUUUUUUAUUCAAACCUUUUCCAUUCUUCAAGUCUGGGCUCAAAUGCUACUUUUUUUCACAAAGCUUUCUCUAACCCCCAGACAGAUCCAUAUUCACCAUCACCUUUCUCUGCAUUGGUCAUAUAGAGUCAAUCACAUAGGGGAAGGAGACUCAGUAACUAACAUUUAAUAGCAUAUACAGUAUGCAGGUACUGUCACAGUCAAAAGCUUAUGUUAGUCUUACAACUACCCUGAGAAAAAAACUUUCAUAUCUGUUUUGAAAGGUAAAAUGCCUUGAGCAGAGUCUUAUGGCUCAAAGUGGCAGAACCAGAAUUUAAACCCAGGUCUGCUUGAUUGUGGAGCCCAGGGCAUUUCCACAAACUUACUAUGAGCUCUUCAUUAUGCCCUUGGACUAAAUAAUUCCCCCUGUUAUAAUUCCUUAUAGCACCAUGUGCUUCUUUAUAGCCCCCACCCCAGUUAUAAUUUUAUCUAUGUUUGUGUGAUUAAUUUUAAUUUCCUUUUUUAGGCCCUAACUCCAUGUAUGAAUGACCAUAUCUCUUUUUGCUCUAUAAAAUCCCCAACACUUGACAAAUAUAGUAGUCACAGAUCUUAUACAAGUAUGUUUGAAUAAAUGCACAAACCAUGUACAUAUCAUUGUAUACAUUUAAUACAUAAAAAGAGCCCUUCCCUGCUAGAUUCUAAUUUCUCUGAGGCAGGUUACCAACCUAAUUUAUUUCUGGAUCCCUCAUGAUGUUCUGUACUUCAUAGGAACCCAAUAAACAUUUACUGGAUAAAUUUUGCUUAUCAGUCUGUCUGUACCAUUUGAAACUCUGUAACAUCCAAGGCUUCUAAGUAGGCCUUGGAUUUAAUUAUAGAAUAAGAUGCCCACAGAAGAGUUUUCUAACCUAACAGGUAUAGAUUUGAAAGCCGUGGGGAGCAUGAAACCCAUGUCACAAAAGUGUAUCAGUCAAAACAAGUUAAGCUAUGUUGCUAUGAUAAACACAGCAGCUUAAAGAAAAGGUUUGUUUCUCACUCACACUACACAGACACUGCAGGCUGUUUGAGGUCAUUGUUCUACAUCAUCCUAACUCCAGGACCUAAGCUAACAGAGCAUUUCUGGUUGCAGAAGGAAAGUGGGGCAAAGGCAAAUAAUUCAAUAGCUCUCAGAGCUUUUACCUGGAUGUAAUGCUGUAUCACUUCUUCUCAUACUUCAUUGGCUAUGUCUACUUUCAAAGAAGUGAUAAAAUGCCCUGUUACUCCACAGGAGAGAGGUCAUGCCAAAACAUUUGCUGGAUGGCACUAAUGACCACCACCACAACAGACUGCAUAGGAGAAAACACUGAGAAAUUGAAAUGGGAGAAUUCCCUGACCCCCCCGUUGCUGGACGUGCGGCAGGGGUGUGGCUCAUCUGUUUAGUCACCACUGCUCCUCAAACCCCUUAUGGGAGGGGGAGCAUGCAGACAGGCAGGUUCAGGAGCCAGAGCCAAGCACCCCUGGGCUCUAGCCCCAGGGUAGCAUCCAGGGUUGAGAGCUUGCAACUCCCAAAGCCCAAAUGGGCUGUGUUACAGUACACUCUUUUAGCCUUGCCAUUCGUGGACAGCUUAUGUAUUAACCAGCUCAGUGGACUCUCUGCCUUUUCACAAUGGCAGACAGCCAGUGUUACAGCUUUCUGUACCCAAGCUCUCAUCCAGCAUCCUGGAAGAGUCAGGUCACAUACAGACUCAAAGGAUGAAUGCACGGGUAUUAUUGAGUGGUGGAAAUUGCUCUCAAUGGGACGAAUGGGGAGCUGGAAGGGGGGUGGAGUGUGAAGAUGAUCUUCCCCUGGAGUUUGGCCAUUCGGUGGCCAAUCUCCUCUCUGACCAUUCCCAGCCAAACUCUUCUCAGCAUUCAGAUGGCCCUUCUCUUCUCCCUCCCAUGCCGUUCUGCCACUUGUCUACUCUUCUCCUUAUCUGCUUCUGGAGCCUGCAGUCUGGGGUUUACAUGGGUACAGGAUAGGGGCUGUGGCGAGCCAAAAGGCAGCUUUGGGGCAUGAAAACAGGAAUGCCUGUCCCCAUUUAGGGCCACAAGUAUCCUGGCUUGAAGGUUCCCUUGCCAGGGAACCACCCUCUUGUACCCAGUGUUUCCCUAUCUCCUGUCCGUUCUAAAUGAUCCAUUUAGAAUCUGACCUACUGUCUGAAAAAAUACAUCUCCAAGGCAAUCUAUUGUUAUAAAAUCACUGAAAUCGCUAGUCUUUCCCUAGGCUUUUGAGCAGUUGCUUUAUGGGCCUCAGUGUCCUUAUCUGUAAAAUGGGAAUAAAAAUAGAAUUUCAGAGCUGCUUUGAGAAUUGUAAUGAUGGCCAGGUGCAGUGGCUCAUGAAACAUAAUGCUUCUAAGUAACAUAAUCUUCAUAUCCAAGUAUGGGCUUUAAAAAUGUAAGACAAAUUAGUUCCUCCAGAUAUAUUAAUAAGUGAGAGAAAACUAUUCACUCACCCUCUAAACUUGACAGUUUUAUUUUGCUGAUAUUGUUGAUUGUCUACCCGCUAAAAUGACUUGCUGCACACAACUAUCCACAUAACCCUGCAAUGCGAGUACUCAAGUAAUUUGAACAGAGCUAAAUGUACCACAUUCUAAGGCAAAAAAAAAAAAAA
RNA transcript from Cercocebus atys (sooty mangabey), 10428 nucleotides. It is a transcript of the gene named leucine rich repeat neuronal 1, with no coding region annotated. The record is from RefSeq and is a predicted model, not a curated record. The transcript is spliced from 3 exons. NCBI's taxonomy places the organism in Eukaryota, Metazoa, Chordata, Mammalia, Primates, Cercopithecidae.